Long non-coding RNA from Xiphophorus hellerii (green swordtail), 235 nucleotides. RefSeq lists it as uncharacterized. The record is from RefSeq and is a predicted model, not a curated record. The transcript is spliced from 3 exons. NCBI's taxonomy places the organism in Eukaryota, Metazoa, Chordata, Actinopteri, Cyprinodontiformes, Poeciliidae.
CAGAUGAACCCAAUGAAUUAUGAAAUAAUUCUGGGAAUCAACAAUCAACACCACCACUGGACUUUAGUGGUGAUCUACCCACAAGAGAAAAAGUCUUUGUCCUUGAAUCCACUGGGGGAAUCAAAACAAGACAUCCAGAAAUGUUUGCAAAUCACAAGGGCAUUUAUGAGGAAGAAGGGGUGCAAUGUCUCACGUUGGACAUGUGACCCAGUCAAGCAUCCAAAACAAGAUAGUU